This 221-nucleotide long non-coding RNA is filed under the name Solanum tuberosum (potato). RNAcentral describes it as "long non-coding RNA (STUB_LNC007564)". The record is from RNAcentral. Lineage: Eukaryota; Viridiplantae; Streptophyta; Magnoliopsida; Solanales; Solanaceae.
AGCAUGACAUCCCAUUUUACUAAUUGGCAACAUAUAGCCAUCUUUUAUUUUCUUGACAAAAAAAAGGUUUUUAAAAAUUAAAUUUUGCAAUUAGUAGCCCACGUGUUGGGAAGUUUUUUUUUAAUUAAAUUAAAUAAUUUUAGGAGGUGGCAGCAUGAUGUCCUUUUUUUUUGGGAAGUGGUUUUUUUCUGCCUUUUUUUUUCUCUUCUUUCCCAUACACG